RNAcentral lists this ribosomal RNA (370 nucleotides) under uncultured bacterium. RNAcentral describes it as "bacterial SSU rRNA". It matches the Rfam family "Bacterial small subunit ribosomal RNA", at positions 527 to 896 of the family's 1533-position model. The record is from RNAcentral.
AGAGGUGGCAAGUGUUGUUCGGAUUUACUGGGCGUAAAGGGUCCGCAGGCGGCUUUGUGUGUCAGAUGUGAAAGCCCACGGCUUAACCGUGGAAAUGCAUUUGAAACUACAGAGCUAGAGUACGGGAGAGUAGAGGGGAAUUCAUGGUGUAGCGGUGAAAUGCGUAGAUAUCAUGAAGAACACCGGUGGCGAGAGCGCCUCUCUGGACCGAUACUGACGCUCAUGGACGAAAGCUAGGGGAGCAAAGAGGAUUAGAUACCCUCGUAGUCCUAGCCAUAAACGGUGUGCACUUGAUGUGGGAGGUUUACCCCCUUCCGUGUCGAAGCUAACGCGAUAAGUGCACCGCCUGGGAAGUACGGCCGCAAGGUUA